UACAGAGGGUGCGGGCGUUAAUCGGAAUUACUGGGCGUAAAGCGCGCGUAGGCGGCAUUGCAAGUCGGGUGUGAAAUCCCCAGGCUUAACCUGGGAACUGCAUUCGAGACUGCAUUGCUAGAGUAUGGGAGAGGGAAGUGGAAUUUCCGGUGUAGCGGUGAAAUGCGUAGAUAUCGGAAGGAACAUCAGUGGCGAAAGCGACUUCCUGGACCAAUACUGACGCUCAUGUGCGAAAGCGUGGGGAGCAAACAGG
RNAcentral lists this ribosomal RNA (253 nucleotides) under uncultured bacterium. Its description in RNAcentral is "partial 16S ribosomal RNA". It matches the Rfam family "Bacterial small subunit ribosomal RNA", at positions 524 to 776 of the family's 1533-position model. The record is from RNAcentral.